GUUAAGCGACUAAGCGUACACGGUGGAUGCCCUGGCAGUCAGAGGCGAUGAAGGGCGUGCUAAUCUGCGAUAAGCGCCGGUAAGGUGAUAUGAACCGUUAUAACCGGCGAUACCCGAAUGGGGAAACCCAGUGUGAUUCGUCACACUAUCAUUAACUGAAUCCAUAGGUUAAUGAGGCGAACCGGGGGAACUGAAACAUCUAAGUACCCCGAGGAAAAGAAAUCAACCGAGAUUCCCCCAGUAGCGGCGAGCGAACGGGGAGGAGCCCAGAGCCUGAAUCAGCAUGUGUGUUAGUGGAAGCGUCUGGAAAGGCGCGCGAUACAGGGUGACAGCCCCGUACACAAAAGCGCAUGUGCUGUGAGCUCGAUGAGUAGGGCGGGACACGUGGUAUCCUGUCUGAAUAUGGGGGGACCAUCCUCCAAGGCUAAAUACUCCUGACUGACCGAUAGUGAACCAGUACCGUGAGGGAAAGGCGAAAAGAACCCCGGCGAGGGGAGUGAAAAAGAACCUGAAACCGUGUACGUACAAGCAGUGGGAGCCCCACCACUAAGCCAGUGGUGAACUCCACAUCCGCAUCCUUUGCUGAGGAUACGGUU
RNAcentral lists this ribosomal RNA (596 nucleotides) under Salmonella enterica subsp. enterica serovar Typhimurium. Its description in RNAcentral is "partial 23S ribosomal RNA". It matches the Rfam family "Bacterial large subunit ribosomal RNA", at positions 1 to 624 of the family's 2925-position model. The record is from RNAcentral. Lineage: Bacteria; Pseudomonadati; Pseudomonadota; Gammaproteobacteria; Enterobacterales; Enterobacteriaceae.